AUGGAAACUUCUCAGGUCACUGACUCUCACCUUCCUUUCCUCCUCAGGAGGGCAGGCCCAGCCCCACUCCCUACAGCCUGGCCCCUCCUUUCCCUGAAGGCCCUGCUGUCCUGGCGCAGUGUGGAGAAGGGCAGGCCUGGGGACUGGACAGCAGCAGGGCCAGGGUGGUCUGCUGCAGGGGGAGACGCACCUCUGCUUCCUGCGACCUUGGCGGUUUUAGGUUUCACUGCAGGGAAAGAAAGGGAGAAUGUCAGGGACAGUACUGGAAACUGGGAUGUUGACUUCUUACCUGAGCAGGUCCAAGUCAUAGACUCAUUGACCAUCAGCUCUCCAUGGCCCUUAAGCUCCACCACUCAACAGACAAGGAUCAUGCUGAUGAAUAAGGAGCAGAGGUAAAGGAGGUGAACGGGGGAGCAGAGGGAGGAUGGAAGAGGGCUCUAAGAGGGAGAACUUGGCUUGUCUGCAUAGAGCAGAACGAUGGGGAGAGGCAGUUAAAAGGGUAAAAUGGUCAACUGAGGUGAGGCCCGUGAAGAAGGGAUGAAAACCCUCUUCAUCACGUUCUUUGGCCUCUUCAACACAUUCUUUCUGGACUUGGUAGUGGCCACUCAGAGUUCUGCCUGCUGAGGUUCCAGGAACCCCAACUGAGGGGCAGCUCUCCUGGAAAUAGGGGUUGGCGGGAGGUCUAUGGUGGUGGCCAGGUGAAGAAUUGAAAGGCUCCUCUCCUAAUGACCCAAAAGUGGCCAACACAUCCUCUCCUGCAGAUACCAUGGCCAGGAGAGCCUGUCCUGUUUGUAUGUCUGGUUUAAUCUGAUCAAAGACCUGUGGCAUUAGACCCUUGGUAAUCCCAGACCCAGAGCACCAUUUGAAUUCUACUUGGAUCUUGUCUUAGAUUCUACUUAAAUAAGCUAGGUAGGUCAAAGAAUUUAGCUUCUCAGCCUUCAGUUUCUUCAGCUGUCCUGAAAAGGAUCUUGACCACCAAAUAGUGUAUGGAGCCCUUGUUACACAGACAGCACUGUCUUAGGCACUGGUGGAUACAAAGACACAGUGCUCACCCUAAAGGAGCUUCUGACCCAGCUGUCGCUAUGCCAUCCAUCACCCAGGGGUCAUCUUUGCAGGGGACGGCCCAGCUCCUCAUGCUGCCCCUGUGGGGAGGGUCACUCUGAACAUCACUUUCCCCAUUCUGUAAAAUGAGAGGAAUAAAAUUCCUCUCCACAUUGUGGAGUCAGUCUCUCGAGAAUACUUCAUAGACUAGAUUAUUUUAAGUGAGCUUUUAAUGGAACUAUCACACACAGAGAGAAAAGUGCACAAAUGCUAAGUGUAGAACACGGUGGUGAAUUAUCAUAAAGUCAACACAUGUAGGUGUCCACUACAGCUCAACAAAUGGAACAUGGUAGAAUGUGACCACUGCUGUGGAAUCCCCCUCCUAUUCUCUCCUAGUCAUUAUCUCCGGCCUCCUUCCCAGAAGUAAGCACUCUUCUGGCUUCUAACCCCCGAGAUUCAGAGACUAGAUUUUAACCGAACAACCUGUAAAACAAUAUGAGUUGGUAGAUGCCAAGUAGGGCACUGUCACAGAGAAUUGUGAUGCUAAUUUCCUGAGAUCCUCUUUACUCUGGGGCUGCAGAUCCAUGGCAGAUGUUUCUGGGAGCACUUUGGGAAGUUGUGAGGCAUCCUCCCAAAUAAUUUGAGCAUCUAUUGCAAGAGCCGGAAGGCCAGACUGCAGCGUGGAGAGUUGAUCCAGGUGUACGGCAUUGUGGAUAUCAGCAUCCUGCCUUCCACGAUAAUCCACAAAUGCUACCUGGAUCUGCUCACGCCACCAGGGCAUCGUCAGGCCCUCCUCACGUCCCUGGUGUGCUCAUUAGCUUGCUGCAUGGAGCUGCUUAAAGAAUUGAUGUACCUUUUGGUGGAAGUGGACAAUAGAAGUGUAGACGUCUUCACUAUGAUAGGUGUAAGCUGUAGCAAACUGGCCAGCAAACUGGCUCUGGUACCAAACAGGAGGACUCCUGGAGCUGCCUGAGAGGGGCCUUCUUAAGAAGGAAGCAGCCUGGACCUUUGCUAACUGCAUUGAUCCUAGCAGCCUCCUCACGUGAUUUUUAAAGUACCAAUUGCUGCUUAUAAAUGGCUUUCAAAAAGCAAUCUGAAUACAAUCUUUAGUUGAAAGAAAACACAAUUUUUCUGCAGUACAAACCACAUUUCACAUAUCCUCAAGCCUUCACCUUCAUCUUUG
This 2224-nucleotide long non-coding RNA is filed under the name Papio anubis (olive baboon). Its description in RNAcentral is "lncRNA (ENSPANG00000044657.1)". The record is from RNAcentral. Lineage: Eukaryota; Metazoa; Chordata; Mammalia; Primates; Cercopithecidae.